This 206-nucleotide long non-coding RNA is filed under the name Brassica napus (rape). Its description in RNAcentral is "long non-coding RNA (BNAP_LNC001520)". Lineage: Eukaryota; Viridiplantae; Streptophyta; Magnoliopsida; Brassicales; Brassicaceae. The record is from RNAcentral.
UUUUGUCAGUUUUCUAUAGAAUUAAGAACAGAAACAGAGAGGCCAAUGGAUGAAUGAUAAAUAAGCAAGAUAUGAUUCUUAUGGGUUUUAAAGGAUGGAUGAAAUCUAGGAACAAAAGAUAGAUAAAAAGAGAAGAAUGGCGGAUGGGAUCUGUUGCUGGACGUGUGUCUCUCUCAACAAGAUCAACGGUUGGUUUGAAGGAUAGA